RNAcentral lists this ribosomal RNA (850 nucleotides) under uncultured Gammaproteobacteria bacterium. RNAcentral describes it as "bacterial SSU rRNA". It matches the Rfam family "Bacterial small subunit ribosomal RNA", at positions 45 to 891 of the family's 1533-position model. Lineage: Bacteria; Pseudomonadati; Pseudomonadota; Gammaproteobacteria. The record is from RNAcentral.
GGCUUAACACAUGCAAGUCGAGCGAGAAAGUAUCUUCGGAUAUGAGUAGAGCGGCGGACGGGUGAGUAACGCGUAGGAAUCUACCUAGUAGAAGGGGAUAGCCCGGGGAAACUCGGAUUAAUACCGUAUACCUCCUUUGGGAGAAAGAGGGCCUCUCUUGAUGCUCUCGCUAUUAGAUGAGCCUGCGUAAGAUUAGCUUGUUGGUGAGGUAAUGGCUCACCAAGGCUACGAUCUUUAGCUGGUCUGAGAGGACGAUCAGCCACAUUGGGACUGAGACACGGCCCAGACUCCUACGGGAGGCAGCAGUGGGGAAUAUUGGACAAUGGGCGCAAGCCUGAUCCAGCCAUACCGCGUGUGUGAAGAAGGCCUUCGGGUUGUAAAGCACUUUAAGCAGGGAGAAAAAGUUAUAAGUUAAUACCUUAUAACCGUGAUGUUACCUGCAGAAUAAGCACCGGCUAAUUCCGUGCCAGCAGCCGCGGUAAUACGGAAGGUGCAAGCGUUAAUCGGAAUUACUGGGCGUAAAGCGCGCGUAGGUGGUUUGUUAAGUUGGAUGUGAAAGCCCUGGGCUCAACCUAGGAACUGCAUCCAAAACUAACUCACUAGAGUACGAUAGAGGGAGGUAGAAUUCAUAGUGUAGCGGUGGAAUGCGUAGAUAUUAUGAAGAAUACCAGUGGCGAAGGCGGCCUCCUGGAUCUGUACUGACACUGAGGUGCGAAAGCGUGGGUAGCGAACAGGAUUAGAUACCCUGGUAGUCCACGCCGUAAACGAUGACAACUAGCUGUUGGGAGACAAUGUCUUUCAGUGGCGCAGCUAACGUUUUAAGUUGUCCGCCUGGGGAGUACGGCCGCAA